AUUGAACGCUGGCGGCAGGCCUAACACAUGCAAGUCGAACGGUAACAGGAAGAAGCUUGCUUCUUUGCUGACGAGUGGCGGACGGGUGAGUAAUGUCUGGGAAACUGCCUGAUGGAGGGGGAUAACUACUGGAAACGGUAGCUAAUACCGCAUAACGUCGCAAGACCAAAGAGGGGGACCUUCGGGCCUCUUGCCAUCGGAUGUGCCCAGAUGGGAUUAGCUAGUAGGUGGGGUAACGGCUCACCUAGGCGACGAUCCCUAGCUGGUCUGAGGGGAUGACCAGCCACACUGGAACUGAGACACGGUCCAGCCUCCUACGGGAGGCAGCAGUGGGGAAUAUUGCACAAUGGGCGCAAGCCUGAUGCAGCCAUGCCGCGUGUAUGAAGAAGGCCUUCGGGUUGUAAAGUACUUUCAGCGGGGAGGAAGGGAGUAAAGUUAAUACCUUUGCUCAUUGACGUUACCCGCAGAAGAAGCACCGGCUAACUCCGUG
This 490-nucleotide ribosomal RNA is filed under the name uncultured bacterium. Its description in RNAcentral is "partial 16S ribosomal RNA". It matches the Rfam family "Bacterial small subunit ribosomal RNA", at positions 30 to 507 of the family's 1533-position model. The record is from RNAcentral.